GGGGUUGUGGCUCAGAGGUAGAGCGAUCGCCUAGCACGUGUGAGGCACUGGGUUUGAUCCUCAGCACCACA
This 71-nucleotide transfer RNA is filed under the name Marmota monax (woodchuck). RNAcentral describes it as "tRNA.Ala". The record is from RNAcentral. Lineage: Eukaryota; Metazoa; Chordata; Mammalia; Rodentia; Sciuridae.